Molecule: long non-coding RNA, 2737 nt
Filed under: Nicotiana tabacum (common tobacco)
Lineage: Eukaryota; Viridiplantae; Streptophyta; Magnoliopsida; Solanales; Solanaceae
Description: long non-coding RNA (NTAB_LNC009212)
Source: RNAcentral
AAAAAACAAAAGAAAGAAAGGGGGAAACGGGUCCGCUUCAGAAAAUGCAGAAAAAGGGAUUUCAAAAGGAGAAGAAGAAGAAGAUGAAAAAGGCUGGAACCAAACCUUGAGAAAUCUUAAAUACGCACUGGUGUUUACGGGUAAUACUCAAAUUUCUCAUCUGGGUUCUUUUUUCUGGUAAUUCUUUUUAUCUCAGUUCAUAUAUUUGAAGGGUUUCACAAGGUAUAAGAAAUUAAAUACCACGAAGAAUUAUUCUGGGCAAAUCAUGCAAUUGGAAGUUGGUCAAGGUUACUGUAGGAUAACUUCACUUGGAAAAAGAAGGGUAUUGAUGUAUUUGUACUUAAACUAGCCUAAUUAUAUAUGAUCUUUGUUAGGUGUAAAUUAAGUUAGGGUGCAAGGAUUGAGUUUUGGUGUUUAACUAUAUUGUAAUAAAAGUAUCGAAUUUGGGUUGGAAUGUGGUAAGUCCAGUAUUGAGUACAAAGAUAAGUACCAAUUAAUAAGGUAUAUGAUGGACAAUAAGGGUAUUUCAGUUUAAAUUUAUGCACAUGAUUUAGGAAAUUGAACAGUACAGGGAAUAAACCAUAUAAAUACACUUUUAUUUAAAAGAUUUUGGACUAAUUUAAAUCAAUCAUAUGUGGAUAAAUAAAAAUCCACAAAUUAAGACUUAAACAUGAACCCCAAUGAUUGGGUAUUCUAAAUUAGCUAUGAAUUGGCCUAAACAUGGAAAUUAACAUGAGAUCGAUAUUAUGUAAUUAUAGAUUGAUUGGAGGAAUUUGUGCGAAUUGCUCCAGGUGAAGUAUUUUGUAUUUCGGCACGAGUACUGUGAGUAGUAAUCUUACUACAAUUUUUGUUUUCAUAACCUGCAUGGUUUAUACCUUAUUUUGAAAAUAAAAUAUGUUACAUAAUGUUUGAAAUUGCAUGUGGGACAAGUCCUUUACUUGAUAUGGUACUGAACAGUUUGCUUGAGAUGUUUACCGUUAUUUAAAAUGUUCUCACUAUUACUAGACAUGUUUUACUGUUAUUUGAGAUAUGAUUACUGUUACCGAAAUUGGAUUACAAUAUUUGAUAAGAAUUGAAAUCCCCUAUACUAUUUUGAAAAUGCUUCCAUAUGAAUAUUUACUGUUUACAAAGAAAAGUAUAAAUAGGAGGAGACUUUGAAGGAUCCCGUAGCUAACGGCAUGUUCGUUAGACCUGGUGCACCUUGUAUUUACAGAUUACCGAUUACAGUUAUAGCCCUCGCUAUUGGGAAGGUAGAAGUAGCAUACAGUUACAGUUUUCCCUCGAGUAGGGACCUACAGUUAUAUUUGACUCCUUUGACCAAGGGGUCCAUACAGUGUUAGAAAUUACAUGAUCUUUCCUUGGAAACCUCCCAAACAUAAAUAUUUAAUAUGACACAGUGCUUACCGAGUAUAUUACUGAAUUGUUAAAUUGAUUCCUAUUACAGGAAACACAUGAUGAGACUGAUUAUUAUUACUAUUUUUUUUGAAAGGGCAUUUUAUUUUUAUGAUAGUUCCUAAUUAUUAUUAUACAGGCAUGUUUUCUGACUUGUCCCCAAUUAAAAACGGUUGUGGUUCAAUACUAUUACUCACUGAGCUAGCGACUCACUGCCCGCUAUUUUUUUCCAGAGAUAACAGUUGAAGGGCGAGGAUUUCAUUAGUCAGACGCACAAGUUGAUAAUUUCUGGUGAGCCCCGCAUUUGUUCGCGUGGGCGAAGAUUUUAUUUAUUGUUACAGUAUUUUCUUUGAACUCUUAGAGUCGCUCCAUAGUCAAAUUUUUUUAGUGUCCUGAGUAUUCUUCGUUAUUAUAGAUUUAUGUUGAGUAUCGCUCAUUCUUAUCAAAUUUUGAGAUAAAGUAGUAUUUCUAGUUGUUGCUGGGUGGACUAUUAAAGGUAGAUAUUUAUUUUGGUUAAUUGAUAAGGUCAUUGUCAUUUGAAUUGCUAUUAGGAUGUUUGGUUGCUGAUUUGAGACAGGGAAAAUUUUGGGAUAGUCCAAAAACAGGGGAAACUCUGUCCGAUUUUCUCUAAAAUACCGAUGAGGCUUACUUGGGGGCACUUGUUCCUAGGUGCCAGUGAUGAUCCUAAAUUGGGUCAUGACAGGGCUUUGUUCCCUUAGCAUAUUUUAAUGAUUAUGCACUGAUUGUGGCUAGAUUUGGAGCAUCCGAAGGUCGAUUCAUGCGGGCGAGGCAUCACGGGCUAGAGUUUGGACCGGAUCGAUGUAAGUAAUGAUUGUAAAUACUGUCCUGAGGUUUGAAACCCUGGAUUACACAUCGAUGUGCUAUUUUGAGGUGACGCACACACUAGACGACGAGCGUUGAGUUGUGUACCGUUGGGGAUUGUGACUUGGUCCGUCCCGUACGAUUGUUAAGUCGCGUAUUUGAUUUGAAAUCUUAUGAUAUUCCAUGUUCUAGAGAUUGAUAUUAUAUUUUGGGUUGUAUGCCAUGUUGGGGGACUUGUGCCGACCUGUUGAGACCCUUAGGAGCAUUUUUACUAUUUUUCCUCACUCUAUUUGUUUUAAAGCAUAUCCUCAGGCAUGUUUUACAUGUUUAUUGUUUAAAUCUGGCUUUAUCACUAUAUUCUUAAAAAUGUGAAAACUAUUUAGGCUGAGUUCCCUAUUUUACUGAUGGUCCGAGUGAUCAUGAGUUGAUGAUUGAGAUAGACCGAGGGUCUGAUUGUGACAUUGAUGACUGAGAUAGACUACUAACUGAGAGUCUGAUGGUGAGGUCAAUGACUGAAAGAGGC